RNAcentral lists this ribosomal RNA (253 nucleotides) under uncultured bacterium. RNAcentral describes it as "partial 16S ribosomal RNA". It matches the Rfam family "Bacterial small subunit ribosomal RNA", at positions 524 to 776 of the family's 1533-position model. The record is from RNAcentral.
UACGGAGGGUGCGAGCGUUGUCCGGAAUCACUGGGCGUAAAGGGCGCGUAGGCGGCGCGGGAAGUCAUCGGUGAAAGUUCAGGGCUCAACUCUGAAUCGGCCGGUGAUACUCUCGUGCUCGAGCACUGUAGAGGCAGGUGGAAUUCCGGGUGUAGCGGUGGAAUGCGUAGAGAUCCGGAAGAACACCGGUGGCGAAGGCGGCAUCCUGGACCAACACUGACACUGAGGAGCGAAAGCCAGGGGAGCAAACGGG